Molecule: ribosomal RNA, 253 nt
Filed under: uncultured bacterium
Lineage: Bacteria
Description: partial 16S ribosomal RNA
Rfam family: Bacterial small subunit ribosomal RNA
Source: RNAcentral
UACGGAAGGGGCUAGCGUUGUUCGGAAUUACUGGGCGUAAAGCGCACGUAGGCGGACUCUUAAGUCAGGGGUGAAAUCCCGGGGCUCAACCUCGGAACUGCCUUUGAUACUGUGAGUCUCGAGACCGGAAGAGGUGAGUGGAAUUCCUAGUGUAGAGGUGAAAUUCGUAGAUAUUAGGAAGAACACCAGUGGCGAAGGUGGCUCACUGGUCCGGUUCUGACGCUGAGGUGCGAAAGCGUGGCGAGCAAUCAGG